GAUGAACGCUAGCGGCAGGCCUAACACAUGCAAGUCGAGGGAGAAGCCCGUUCGGGGGCAGAAACCGGCGCACGGGUGCGUAACGCGUAUGCAACCUACCUUUCACAGGGGGAUAGCCCGAAGAAAUUUGGAUUAAUACCCCAUAAUAUUAUUGGAUGGCAUCAUUUGAUAAUUAAAACUGCGGUGGUGAAAGAUGGGCAUGCGUCCUAUUAGCUAGUUGGAGUGGUAACGGCACCCCAAGGCUACGAUAGGUAGGGGUCCUGAGAGGGAGAUCCCCCACACUGGUACUGAGACAGGGACCAGACUCCUACGGGAGGCAGCAGUGAGGAAUAUUGGUCAAUGGUCGGAAGACUGAACCAGCCAUGCCGCGUGCAGGAAGAAUGCCUUAUGGGUUGUAAACUGCUUUUAUAUGGGAAGAAUAAGGCGUACGUGUACGUUGAUGACGGUACCAUAUGAAUAAGCAUCGGCUAACUCCGUG
RNAcentral lists this ribosomal RNA (478 nucleotides) under uncultured bacterium. RNAcentral's name for it is "partial 16S ribosomal RNA". It matches the Rfam family "Bacterial small subunit ribosomal RNA", at positions 28 to 507 of the family's 1533-position model. The record is from RNAcentral.